CCUACGGGGGGCAGCAGUAAGGAAUAUUGGUCAAUGGACGAAAGUCUGAACCAGCCAUCCCGCGUGCAGGAUGAAAGCCCUAUGGGUUGUAAACUGCUUUUAGCAGAGAAGAAAAGCUUCCAUUUAUGGGGGUCUGACGGUAUCUGCAGAAUAAGCACCGGCUAACUCCGUGCCAGCAGCCGCGGUACUACGGAGGGUGCGGGAGUUAUCCGGAAUUACUGGGUCUUAGGGGGGGGUUGAAGUCGUUGGUGAAAUCUUGUCGCUUAACGAUAAAAUUGCCAAUGAUACUUGUACUCUUGAAUUGGGUUGAGGUUAGCGGAAUGUGACAUGUAGCGGUGAAAUGCAUAGAUAUGUCAUGGAACACCAAUUGCGAAGGCAGCUAACUGGGCCUUGAUUGACGCUGAGGCACGAAAGCGUGGGUAGCGAACAGGAUUAGAUACCCUAGUAGUC
RNAcentral lists this ribosomal RNA (450 nucleotides) under uncultured bacterium. RNAcentral describes it as "partial 16S ribosomal RNA". It matches the Rfam family "Bacterial small subunit ribosomal RNA", at positions 338 to 795 of the family's 1533-position model. The record is from RNAcentral.